Pollicipes pollicipes is the source of this 863-nucleotide long non-coding RNA. RefSeq lists it as uncharacterized. The transcript is spliced from 2 exons. The record is from RefSeq and is a predicted model, not a curated record. Lineage: Eukaryota; Metazoa; Arthropoda; Thecostraca; Pollicipedomorpha; Pollicipedidae.
UCUACAAACAUUACGGAAGACCACUUGGAUACGCAAGAAACACAUUUUACUGAAUUCUUGUUACCUUUGUCGUCGUACAUUUUUAUGGUUCUUGAUGCGCAGUAACGUUGUGAUCACGUAGUAAUGUUGCGAUCACGCUUAGAAAUGGCGCCGGGGUCGCGGCUGUUGCGUGUUUGCGCUGGGAUGUUCGCUAUCGUAGUUAUUUAAGUUCCCAGGUGCACGGGCUCCUCCGUCCACGGGCUCCGUCAUGGCCGGCUCUAUCAUCGUGCCUACAGAUCCGGCGUGGUGUCGUCAGUAACAGCGCCAUGUCACCAGCUCCGACGUAAUUUCACCGUCUCGACGCGUCAUCGCUACCUUCGUGGUGUCACGGUUAAGGGCUGCCUAAACACUGCCAUAUCACUUCUUAACAAAUCUUAUAAUUCUUACGGUCUGCAAAUUCCAAAGUCUUGUUCGGGCAGCCACACGCACAGCGGGACGAGAUGUAGCAGGUGCCGCCCCCUUCGAAAAGCUAACUGAUCUUAAACUCGGGCACACCACUGGGUAUCCAGCGUUGAUGCCAAGCCAAGUCAUUGUGACGGCACUGUCCCCGAUGCUGUGCGUCAAAAACCGUCUCAGAGCAUCAGAUGUGCUAUGCAACCGCCUAUUUGUCUCAGGUGCGAUGCUGGGAGCUUUAGCAUGGCAUAGCGAUCUCCUCCGCCAGGCCAAGUUUGUUGGCAUGUUUCCUGUUCAGACAAAUGUGGACCGUGUACAGUCAGCUUAGAGAUGCAACUUGUGUGUGGUCGUUUCAGUGUACUUUGCUGUAGGCAUGGGUUAUGCGACAUUCUAUGUGAACCCUUGAGUUACUAAUAAAUGCUGUGACGCAU